RNAcentral lists this ribosomal RNA (301 nucleotides) under uncultured bacterium. Its description in RNAcentral is "partial 16S ribosomal RNA". It matches the Rfam family "Bacterial small subunit ribosomal RNA", at positions 509 to 807 of the family's 1533-position model. The record is from RNAcentral.
CAGUAGCCGCGGGAAUACGAAGGGGGCUAGCGUUGCUCGGAAUGACUGGGCGUAAAGGGCGCGUAGGCGGCGGCCAAAGUCAGGCGUGAAAUUCCCGGGCUCAACCUGGGGGCUGCGCUUGAUACUUGGUUGCUUGAGUGGGGAAGAGGGUCGUGGAAUUCCCAGUGUAGAGGUGAAAUUCGUAGAUAUUGGGAAGAACACCGGUGGCGAAGGCGGCGACCUGGUCCUUUACUGACGCUGAGGCGCGAAAGCGUGGGGAGCAAACAGGAUUAGAUACCCCGGUAGUCCCUGUCUCUUAUAC